AACGAACGCUGGCGGCAGGCCUCAAACAUGCAAGUCUAGGGGGUGUAGCAAUACAUCACCGGCGGACGGGUGCGUAACGCGUGGGAAUAUACCUAUUGGUUCGGAACAACACAGGGAAACUUGUGCUAAUACCGAAUGUGCCCUUACGGGGAAAGAUUUAUCGCCAAUGGAUUAGCCCGCGUCCGAUUAGCUAGUUGGUGAGGUAACGGCUCACCAAGGCUCCGAUCGGUAGCUGUUCUGAGAGGAAGAUCAGCCACACUGGGACUGAGACACGGCCCAGACUCCUACGGGAGGCAGCAGUUGGGAAUCUUGGACAAUGGGGGAAACCCUGAUCCAGCCAUGCCGCGUGAGUGAUGAAGGCCUUCGGGUUGUAAAACUCUUUCGACGGGGACGGAUAAUGACGGUACCCGUAGAAGAAGCUCCGGCUAACUUCGUGCCAGCAGCCGCGUAU
Molecule: ribosomal RNA, 451 nt
Filed under: uncultured bacterium
Lineage: Bacteria
Description: bacterial SSU rRNA
Rfam family: Bacterial small subunit ribosomal RNA
Source: RNAcentral